This 247-nucleotide ribosomal RNA is filed under the name uncultured bacterium. RNAcentral's name for it is "partial 16S ribosomal RNA". It matches the Rfam family "Bacterial small subunit ribosomal RNA", at positions 523 to 769 of the family's 1533-position model. The record is from RNAcentral.
AUACGUAGGGGGCAAGCGUUAUCCGGAUUUACUGGGUGUAAAGGGAGCGUAGGCGGCGGAGCAAGUCAGAAGUGAAAGCCCGGGGCUCAACCCCGGGACGGCUUUUGAAACUGCCCUGCUUGAUUUCAGGAGAGGUAAGCGGAAUUCCUAGUGUAGCGGUGAAAUGCGUAGAUAUUAGGAGGAACACCAGUGGCGAAGGCGGCUUACUGGACUGACAAUGACGCUGAGGCUCGAAAGCGUGGGGAGC